CAGCGCCCCAAGUGGCAAUCGCGAUUAUUGGGCCUAAAGCGUCCGUAGCCGGGUAAGUAAAUCCACUGUGAAAUCGAUGCGCUCAACGUAUCGGCGUGCAGCGGCGACUGCUUACCUCGAGACCGGAAGGGGCUGGACGUAUGCCAUGGGGACCGGUAAAAUGGGAUAAUCCAUGGUAGACGACCAAUGGCGAAGGCAUCCAGCCAGUACGGAUCUGACGGUGAGGGACGAAAGCCAGGGGAGCGAACCGGAUUAGAUACCCGCGUAGUCC
Molecule: ribosomal RNA, 271 nt
Filed under: uncultured archaeon
Lineage: Archaea
Description: partial 16S ribosomal RNA
Rfam family: Archaeal small subunit ribosomal RNA
Source: RNAcentral